GUCUGUGGCCAUACCACCCUGAACACAUCUGAUCUCAUUUGAGCUCAGAAGCUAAACAGGGUGAGGCCUGGUUAGCACUUGGAUGGGAGUUGAAAAUGGCUUCUGUUGGCCACAAAAA
This 118-nucleotide ribosomal RNA is filed under the name Carlito syrichta (Philippine tarsier). The record is from RNAcentral. Lineage: Eukaryota; Metazoa; Chordata; Mammalia; Primates; Tarsiidae.